AGCAGCCGCGGUAAUUCCAGCUCCAAUAGCGUAUAUUAAAGUUGUUGCAGUUAAAAAGCUCGUAGUUGAAUUUCGGGAUCAUCAGGUUGGUCGUGCCUCUGGUAUGUACUUGCUUCGAUGGUCUCUCCUUCUUGAAGAACCGUAAUGGCAUUAAUUUGUUGUUGCGGGGAAACAGGACUGUUACUUUGAAAAAAUUAGAGUGUUUAAAGCAGGCAAUCGCUUGAAUACAUUAGCAUGGAAUAAUGAAAUAGGACGUUCGAUCCUAUUUUGUUGGUUUCUAGGAUUGACGUAAUGAUUAAUAGGGAUAGUUGGGGGCAUUAGUAUUCAAUUGUCAGAGGUGAAAUUCUUGGAUUUAUUGAAGACUAACUACUGCGAAAGCAUUUGCCAAGGAUGUUUUCAUUAAUCAAGAACGAAAGUUAGGGGAUCGAAGACGAUCAGAUACCGUCGUAGUCUUAACCAUAAACUAUGCCGACUAGGGAUCGGAUGAUGUUAAUUUUUAAUGACUCAUUCGGCGUCCG
This 518-nucleotide ribosomal RNA is filed under the name uncultured Glomus. RNAcentral describes it as "SSU rRNA". It matches the Rfam family "Eukaryotic small subunit ribosomal RNA", at positions 569 to 1089 of the family's 1831-position model. Lineage: Eukaryota; Fungi; Glomeromycota; Glomeromycetes; Glomerales; Glomeraceae. The record is from RNAcentral.